This 1372-nucleotide ribosomal RNA is filed under the name uncultured bacterium. RNAcentral's name for it is "bacterial SSU rRNA". It matches the Rfam family "Bacterial small subunit ribosomal RNA", at positions 28 to 1381 of the family's 1533-position model. The record is from RNAcentral.
GAUGAACGCUGGCGGCGUGCCUAAUACAUGCAAGUCGAGCGAACGGACGAGAAGCUUGCUUCUCUGAUGUUAGCGGCGGACGGGUGAGUAACACGUGGAUAACCUACCUAUAAGACUGGGAUAACUUCGGGAAACCGGAGCUAAUACCGGAUAAUAUUUUGAACCGCAUGGUUCAAAAGUGAAAGACGGUCUUGCUGUCACUUAUAGAUGGAUCCGCGCUGCAUUAGCUAGUUGGUAAGGUAACGGCUUACCAAGGCAACGAUGCAUAGCCGACCUGAGAGGGUGAUCGGCCACACUGGAACUGAGACACGGUCCAGACUCCUACGGGAGGCAGCAGUAGGGAAUCUUCCGCAAUGGGCGAAAGCCUGACGGAGCAACGCCGCGUGAGUGAUGAAGGUCUUCGGAUCGUAAAACUCUGUUAUUAGGGAAGAACAUAUGUGUAAGUAACUGUGCACAUCUUGACGGUACCUAAUCAGAAAGCCACGGCUAACUACGUGCCAGCAGCCGCGGUAAUACGUAGGUGGCAAGCGUUAUCCGGAAUUAUUGGGCGUAAAGCGCGCGUAGGCGGUUUUUUAAGUCUGAUGUGAAAGCCCACGGCUCAACCGUGGAGGGUCAUUGGAAACUGGAAAACUUGAGUGCAGAAGAGGAAAGUGGAAUUCCAUGUGUAGCGGUGAAAUGCGCAGAGAUAUGGAGGACACCCAGUGGCGAAGGCGACUUUCUGGUCUGUAACUGACGCUGAUGUGCGAAAGCGUGGGGAUCAAACAGGAUUAGAUACCCUGGUAGUCCACGCCGUAAACGAUGAGUGCUAAGUGUUAGGGGGUUUCCGCCCCUUAGUGCUGCAGCUAACGCAUUAAGCACUCCGCCUGGGGAGUACGACCGCAAGGUUGAAACUCAAAGGAAUUGACGGGGACCCGCACAAGCGGUGGAGCAUGUGGUUUAAUUCGAAGCAACGCGAAGAACCUUACCAAAUCUUGACAUCCUUUGACAACUCUAGAGAUAGAGCCUUCCCCUUCGGGGGACAAAGUGACAGGUGGUGCAUGGUUGUCGUCAGCUCGUGUCGUGAGAUGUUGGGUUAAGUCCCGCAACGAGCGCAACCCUUAAGCUUAGUUGCCAUCAUUAAGUUGGGCACUCUAAGUUGACUGCCGGUGACAAACCGGAGGAAGGUGGGGAUGACGUCAAAUCAUCAUGCCCCUUAUGAUUUGGGCUACACACGUGCUACAAUGGACAAUACAAAGGGCAGCGAAACCGCGAGGUCAAGCAAAUCCCAUAAAGUUGUUCUCAGUUCGGAUUGUAGUCUGCAACUCGACUACAUGAAGCUGGAAUCGCUAGUAAUCGUAGAUCAGCAUGCUACGGUGAAUACGUUCCCGGGUCU